Molecule: unclassified non-coding RNA, 373 nt
Filed under: Hevea brasiliensis (rubber tree)
Lineage: Eukaryota; Viridiplantae; Streptophyta; Magnoliopsida; Malpighiales; Euphorbiaceae
Source: RNAcentral
GUUAGACUUGUGUAUCGUAAGACCGAUGAUGUUGUGUAUAAAGAUCCUCCGGAGAUUGAAAUUUAUUCGAUUAAUAGUGGGGUUUGGAGGAGAGUGAUUGGGGUUGAGAUUAAGCAUUGUGUAGUGGAGUUUAUGUGGUCUCAGGUUUUUGUGAAUGGAGUUGUACAUUGGAUUGCGUAUGAUGUGGUUGCGAAUGGUGGUGAACUUCGGAGUUUAGUUAUGACGUUUAGUAUAGCGGAUGAGGUGUUUGGGGAGAUUAUGUUGCCGGAUGCUUUAGUUGGUGUAAUUGCAACGAAUUUAUCGGUUCUGUUGUUUGAGGAAUCGCUUGCUGUUGUUAAGUAUGAGAGGGAGAUAGAUGUUGCUUCAUGUGAAG